AUGGAUGCCAUGUCAUGCCUGGCGCCGCCACCAUCGGCGUCGUUCCUCUCGGCCUCCUCGCCCGGGCCGGCCUACUACACCGACGCCGCCAUCACGCAAGCGCUGCACUUCUCCUCUAUGUCCAUGCCCCAGCACGAGUACGCUUACUCCCCCGCAGUCUCCUCCCCCUCCUCCGCCUCGGGGCCCUCCUCGUCCUCUCUCCUCGCGGACUUCUCAUGCGGCGCCGGGGACAGCAGCUGGUUCGCCUCCACGGCCGCGCCGCCGAUGGGAUCGCUCGCCUGCGACUCCGUCGCGCCGUCCACCCCCGUCCGCGCCACGGCGAACAAGAGGCGGGUCGGCCUUGGGCCCAACGCAGCGGGCGCCGGCCGGGCCGGGAAGCGGCGGGCGAGGCCGUCAAAGCGCGCGCCGACCACGUACAUCAGCACCGACGCCGCCAACUUCCGGCUCAUGGUGCAGCACGUCACGGGCGUCCAGGCCGAGCCCGGUGCGGCAGACGGCAGCGUCCUGCCCGCGUCGUCGUUCGACGCGUCGUCCCCCGCCCUGCUGCUGGAGCUGGACUGCACCGCUUUCGACUGCGCGUUCGGGGACGCGCUGCGGCUGCCGUCGGACGACGACGCGGCGGCGCUCCAUCGCCACCACCAACAGCAGCUGGUGCAGCAACAGCAGCCGUGCUUCCCUACGCUGGACUCGUGGAGCGUCAUGUACGAGAGCAGCCAGCUGAUCUAG
This 726-nucleotide ribosomal RNA is filed under the name Triticum aestivum (bread wheat). RNAcentral describes it as "partial small subunit ribosomal RNA". Lineage: Eukaryota; Viridiplantae; Streptophyta; Magnoliopsida; Poales; Poaceae. The record is from RNAcentral.